This 454-nucleotide ribosomal RNA is filed under the name uncultured bacterium. RNAcentral's name for it is "partial 16S ribosomal RNA". It matches the Rfam family "Bacterial small subunit ribosomal RNA", at positions 28 to 507 of the family's 1533-position model. The record is from RNAcentral.
GAUGAACGCUGACAGAAUGCUUAACACAUGCAAGUCAACUUGAACUUCGGUUUGGGUGGCGGACGGGUGAGUAACGCGUAAAGAACUUGCCUCACAGAUAGGGACAACAUUUGGAAACGAAUGCUAAUACCUGAGAUUAUGAUUAUAUGGCAUCGUAUAAUUAUGAAAGAUAUAUGCGCUGUGAGAGAGCUUUGCGUCCCAUUAGCUAGUUGGCGAGGUAACGGCUCACCAAGGCGAUGAUGGGUAGCCGGCCUGAGAGGGUGAUCGGCCACAAGGGGACUGAGACACGGCCCUUACGCCUACGGGAAGCAGCAGUGGAGAAUAUUGGACAAUGGACCAAGAGUCUGAUCCAGCAAUUCUGUGUGCACAAUGAAGUUUUUCGGAAUGUAAAGUGCUUUCAGUUGGGAAGAAAAAAAUGACGGUACCAACAGAAGAAGUGACGGCUAAAUACGUG